Molecule: long non-coding RNA, 740 nt
Filed under: Monodelphis domestica (gray short-tailed opossum)
Lineage: Eukaryota; Metazoa; Chordata; Mammalia; Didelphimorphia; Didelphidae
Description: lncRNA (ENSMODG00000043738.1)
Source: RNAcentral
GUACCUAUCAUAGUCUUAUCCCCAUUUGUCAAUUAAGAAAACUUUUUUUCCAGAGAAAUGAAAUUAUUUUCUCAUGGCCUCAUAGCCAAGAAAGGUCAAAGCUAGGAACUAAACCCAGGAAGUGUCAAGAAAUCUCAGGAAAAUCUUUUUCUCUAGCCUCAAUCUGGAAGACAAAGCAGAACCAUAGGAAAGAAUAAGGCAAUAGUAGUAAUUAAAAUGAGUGCCUUGUUUAUGAUAUCUUUAAAAUAUGUGAAUCAUUUUUGUAUAUAGUAUUUUUUGAUAUAAUAACCCUGGGAGUUGAUGCUAUGACAUUCUGUAUUUCACAGAUUAGAAAACUGAGGAGAGCUCAAUUAAAUGACUUGUCGAUAUGACAGAGAGCUAGUUCUCCCUGAUUCAAAACCCCAUCUUUUUAAUACUUGUGUUCCUUGGGUGAUGUAAAAUGGCAGCAAAUCAUAGAGUUCUACAAUCUCUCUGAAUAGACAUCUGAAGAGAUGCAGGUCAUCCAAAGGGCAAAGGAGAAAAAUAUGGUGGAGAUGAGAAAACCAAGAUCCACUGUAGAUAUGGGACCUAUCCAAAGUCAUACAAUGUGUUAAAAACAGCUGGCACAAGACCUUACAUCUCCAGAUUUCUGAUCCAGGACACUCUCUCCACUAGCUAAAACUGCCUCUACACAAUAACAUUGAGAAGCCAUGUACAAUCAGUUGCAUUUCUAAUCUGAUUAACAUUUCUAUGAUUUCAAA